UGUUCAGCUACUGUGUUUUCAAUCGAUAUUUCAUUCUCGUCACAAACAAUUUAGCAGAAAACUAGGUUUUUAGAAUCGACUGCUACAUGCUAGUGAAGCGAAAGUGAUUUAUUUUUGGAAAUAAUAGACCAAUAAAGGAGUUUCUUUGUUAUUUCAUUGUCACAGAAAUCUAACACUGGAAAGCCACACGAUAAAGAAACAGGAGCAGUAAAAUAUUACUGCCAGGAGUGCCAGAGAAGAGCAACUAAACCACCUGAUGGAGAACCUAUCAACAUAAUUGGAAAAAAAAUUGUGAAUGAUUAAUCAUCAUAUAAAUAUUUCCCCGGCAGGAAAUUUCAUAUUAUUUGUGAAAGUAUCAAUAAACAUACUCAAAAUUA
Molecule: long non-coding RNA, 377 nt
Organism: Coccinella septempunctata (seven-spotted ladybird)
Lineage: Eukaryota; Metazoa; Arthropoda; Insecta; Coleoptera; Coccinellidae
Exons: 2
Source: RefSeq, a predicted model, not a curated record